ACUACAGUUAACAUUACUGUAUUGUAUAUGUAUUCUUUUAAGUUUGUUUAUUUUUUCUGAGGGGGGAGGGGCGGAGAGAGGGAGAGAGAGAAUCCCAAGCAGGCUCAGUGCUGCAAACUGCCUUAGAAGAGAAUAGAUUUGUAAAAGUUCUCACCACACACGUGCACACACGCACACACACACAUUCACACACGGUAACUAUGUGUGGGGUUGGAUGUGUUAAGUAACCUAUUACAGAAGUCAUUUUGCAAUACAUCCAUAUAUCAAAUCACUACCUUGUACACCUUACAUUUAUACCGUGUUAUAUGUCAAUUACAUUUCAGUAAAGUUGGAGGGAGAGAGAGUCCACACAUGAGGGAAACCAUACAGUGUUUGUCUUGCUCCUUCUGACUCGCUAAGCGAGGCUUCACAUGGAUCUGCAGAACCAUCCAGAAUGGGGCACCACACAGAGUGACUGCUUCUUGCUUACAAUGUGACCGUCCAUCACAUGGUCUCCACCCCAGACCUCCCUGAUAAACUCAGAUCCUGCUGCCUCCUGGGGCUCCUGGGGAGAAUACCGAAGACAAUGUAUCAGCCAGGGCCACCCAAACUCCAGGCGCAGACUGGAAAGUGUGAAGAAACCGAAAAAUUGGGCCACAGCGCCCCCUGGUGCUCGCAGCGCUCACCUGCUUAAGCGACUU
Long non-coding RNA from Neofelis nebulosa (Clouded leopard), 680 nucleotides. RefSeq lists it as uncharacterized. The transcript is spliced from 3 exons. The record is from RefSeq and is a predicted model, not a curated record. Lineage: Eukaryota; Metazoa; Chordata; Mammalia; Carnivora; Felidae.